UGAGGUUGGAAACUUCUGUACAGUAAGGGUUGUUAGGCACUGCAAUGCCCAGGGAGGGGGUUGAGUCACCAUCCCUGAAUGUGUUUAAAAACCUUUUGGAUAUGGUGCUCAGGGCCAUGAUUUAGAGGAAGGUUGUUAAUUGGGGUAGUAUGGUCAGGUCGUGGUUGGACUUGGUGAUCUUUAAGGUCACUUUUCCUACCUGUGUGAUUCUCCAGCAGGGCCACCUGAAGUGGUGUCCGGGACUGUGUCCAGAUGGGUUUGGAGAUCUCCAAGAGGAGAGGCUGCAGCCUCUCUGGGUCCCUGUGCCAGUGCUGCAGUGCUUACAGUGCAGGAGUGCUCCUGAUGUUUGGUGGCAGCCUCUGGUCCUGGCACUGGGCUCCACUGGAUGCAGCCUGGCUCCAUCCUCUCUGCCCCUCCCUGCAGGGAUUGAUGGCUGUGGGUGGGAUUCCUCUGAGCUCCCUUUCUUCAGGCUGAGCGGCCCCCUCUGUCUCAGCCUCUUGUCAUAGAAGAGGUGUUUCAGUCCCUUCACCAUCUUGGUAGCCCUCCAUUGGACUCCUUGCAGUAUGUCUAGCCUGGGAGCCCAGACCUGGACACUGUUCUCUAGGUGCAGCCUCACAGAGCAAAAGUAAUGGUGCAGAAUAAAUCUGCUACAAGUCAGGAGUGGGGCUGUGAUGGGAGCACGCUGAUUUAUGACUGACAUGGAGAACUGCUAGGAAGAAAGCCUGGUGGGCCUGAACACAGAUACCAGGUGGUCCAGCUGUUUCACUGGAAACUAGAUACUUAAUGGGCAGCAAUGUGGAGAAAUGUUCUCCUUGUAGUUGUGCCCUGUGGCUUCUUUCUAAUGUGCUUGGGAAGUCCCACUAGAGUAGACUGCUGCGUGAGACGGAAGCCUGAUACCACAUCACAUGUGUGGGUGGAGGUUUACUAUCUCUGUUUUCACAUCUUUUAUGUUUGGUGGUUUUUUCUUUUCAAUUCAACUCUAUGUGUGCAUUGGUGCAAGUCUGCCUUUGCUAAAUCCUUUUCUUGUGGCCUUAGACAACAAUCAAGGGGGUCUCAAGUUUCAGCGCUAAGCAAGAAGUGCAGGCACUCAGGAAGGCCAUGAAGGGCUUUGGUAAGCUGAUCUUCCUCCACAGGUCAACUUUUUUUUUUUCCCCAGCACUGGGAAUGGCUGCACCACAAAUGGUGGUUUGUUAGAGGGAAGUGUAGCUGCUUGCAUUGCUCUGCUGCACAGCUGCCCUAAAAAUAGUUGGGAAGUGGAAACAGAACUGCCCUUCAUGUCCCGAAAUGCAGCUGCUCUGGUGGUGUGGGUCCUGGCAGCUUUGUGUACAUAGAUGGAUGUGUCCUGGGGCUGUUAAGAGCCGGCUGUGUAGGGGACUGGAGGUGGCACAGGAGCAGAGGGCACUUUGUUGUGCAAGCAGCCCACCUGGCUUCCAUUUGUUUCUUGCACGGAUGAAGAUGCCAUCAUCGACAUCUUGAUCAAACUAAAUGCUUCCCAACAUCAGUGAGUUCUGAUCACCUACAAGAGUGCUACAAGAGCACUCCUGGCAGGGCAGGUGGUCUGCAGAGAUGCGUGAAUGUGGUUGUGUCACUUGGGUGAAAAGUGAAAAACAACCCAGUCUCCAUAAGAGAAAGCAGAGACUUUACCUGACCAAAGUUGUUUUGUUCCCGUUCAGUUGAGAGCAGUUGUUGAUGCAAGGAGGGUUGGAGCCUGAAGAGAAGUGGUGAGCAGCUCAGUUCCUUCUGUCCUCAAAAGCUGUGCCUUCUGCCAACUCCUUUCUCCUCUCCUGGCCUUCUAGGAUUUGAUGGGUGACUCGAAGUCAGAUCUGAGGGGAAUUUUACAAGGGUGCUCAUUGGGAUGAUGACUCCCACCACCAUGUAUGAUGAGCAUGAACUAAGGAGGGCUGUGAAGGUUUGGAAAUCUUCCUUUUGUAUGGCUUACGUUCUGGCCAAGGGCUUGCUGCUUUGUUAUGUAUGUCUUACUAUGAAUUCUUAAAGAAACCUGUCUGCAUGUCACGAGCAGUUGCUGCUAUCUUAAAUCUUGAAUUGGUGAUUCCCUAGGGAGAGGAAUAGGUGCUGCCUGGUUGAAAUUGUGGCUUCUUGCACCAAUGAAGAAGUUGGUUGCAUUAAGGAGAACUACGAGCUUCGUAAGUAGUGUGACAGGCCAGGCCUUGUCCUGCUGCCUGACAGUCUGUGUGUGUGUGUGUGUGUGUGUGUGUGUGUGUGUGUGUGCAGGCAGAUGUGAAGAGGAAGGAGUCUGGGGAGCUUUCAGGUGUGACGGACUGGCCAACCUGGGUGUUGCUGUUUGUGCAGAGAGAAGCUAGACUGGAAUUUCACCAGCAGCUGAACUGGUGUAAAUAAAACAGGGAGGAGCAUUCUGUCUGUCAGCGGGACGUGUGGCUCUCUUGCCAGUUUCUUGCUGUCUGUGCUUCUUAAUUGGAGACUGCAGCACUGAUGAUGAUGGCUGGAGCGCUGCAGUGAUGCUGAGAGCCCUGGGCCCAGCUCUGCACGUAGCAGGUUAUGGCUGGAAAAUGUUGUGGGCAGCACCCAGGUGGUGGCCCAGCUCCUAAUGUGUGUGUGUUCUUGCUAGAAUGUGGCUCUCCCUUGAGGAUGGCAUCGUAUCUGACACAUCUUCCAUGUUUUGAAGGGUCCUCGUGUCCCUCGCAACGGUGAGCCAAGCUGAGGGGAAAGGAGGUGAAUCUUCAGAGCUGUGGGCACAGUUCUGCACUCAGUGGUGAGGAGCUCCAGGCUGGCUUUUUCUCACCCCGUGUGUCCCAUGGCUGCUCCUCAAGCCCAGCUUCUGCAGGGAGGGGACUCUGACUCUGGGUGUGCAUGAGUGCUGUGGGCUCUUCUUUAAACAUCCCAGUAAAGUGGGUUGCUGCUCAUUUUUAGAAGGAAGCCCAAAGCACACCUGAGCUGUGUUUCACUGUGUUUGUGAGCUACUCUUCCCUUUGAAGGACUCCAUUAUCCAUCUCCAGCAGCUGAUCCUGAAUGAGGAAUUCCCAGGAGUUGCUUCCAGUAGAUGCUCUGGUGAACAGAGUCUUCUAUCCUUUUGUCUUUGCAGGGAAACAGAGAUGAAGGAAUGUUUGUGGAUGUGCUCAGCAGAUGUUCAGUCAAGUGCAUGUGAAACGAGCCUGCGUGCUUUGCUGAAAGACUGUUUAAAUCCAUGGAGGUAAACAGAUUUUGGAGUAAGAUUGCUUGCUUCUUUCUUGCAUUUUCGUGCUCGAGUCAGCCAGCAGCAUUAUGGCAAUCGUGAGAUGGAAGCUGCAGCCAGUCAGGAAACUGGCUGUUCCAGGAAAGCUCAGGCUUUUCUGCACAUCAGGGUAGUAGCCAUACUCAGGAGCAAGCUGCUGCUAAUGGAUUGCUCCAUUAAUGCAAAAAUGCUGUAAUUAAGAGCAGCUCCUGCACAGGACUGGGCACUGAGACCUUUGUGUCUGUGGGUGAUUCUCCAGCAGUUCUGUGUCGGCUGCAUGUGGCUGCUUUGCUUUCCAGGGCCUGGGAACAGGCGACAGCACUGUGAUCAGAGCGAUGGUGUCCCGCUCCGAAAUGAAUCUUCUGGAUAUCAGAAGAGGAUUCCUGACCAUGUAUGGGAAGUCUCUCUACUCCUUCAUGAAGGUAAACUUGUCGAUGUUAACACAAGAAGUGGGAUUUUCUGAGUGCCUUUAAGGACUUGACAUCUGUUGGGUAUUUUAGAGCCUUUGAGAUGAAGCAGACUUUACAAAAACAUACUGAAAAUGUUCCUGAAUAUUCCUAAAUGGUCUAGGAUAUGAAUGCUGCAAGAAGAAAUCUGUCUUAAGAAGAAUUUUACUUUAAUAGAACUUAGAAAUUAUUCAUAUUCCUUUUUUUUUCUUAGUAACUCAGUUUGCUCUGGCCUUCUCUCUUCCUCUUCUCUACUUUCUUUUUUUCUGCACUCUUCUCCCUCUUUUCUCUGCACCAUUCCUUCCUUUCUUCCUCCAUCUGCCCAUUUUGCUGUUCCCUCUGUUCUCCCUACCCUCUUUUUUUUUUUUUUCUCUUGUCCUUUUUAGACCUGCUCUUCUUACCUGUAUCUUCUAUUCUGCUCUCUUUCUUUUCCCCUCUCAUUCAUCACCUUUCUGUUCUUCUCCCUUACAAGCUCCUCUCUUUUUUCUUUGUUCUGCUGUCUUUUCUCUCCUCUCCUUCUUUCCUCUCCUCUUUGUGGCAAGAGAACUCCGAGCUCCCUUACUGGUGUGGCAAGAGAGGUGCAGGCUUUCUUGCUGGUGCAGAAGGAAGGACGAAAGACCUUUAUUGUAGUGCUUACAACCUUUUAUACCCGCACAUCAACAACUGGUUACCUGCAGGAACAAGGCGCCUCAUGUGUGUUUAUGUCUGGCUCAAAUUACUGCUGAGCUUUUUUACUCAUAGCAAGAUAACAACUUUCUUUAUCCCACAUCUUCCCCUUCUUUAUUAAUAGAUAAAGAAGCACGGUUCAAAAACAAUCCUAAAAGCAGCUAAACUAAAAGCAAUACACCGAACAAACGAUGUGUUCUUUGGAGUACAAACAAUGGUCCAUAUUAACCAACCCCAACGACUCCAAUUCUUAUGAUUCCUCAGUGACACAGUUGACAAAGUGUGUCUUGUGGGUGAGAGUCCAAACCACUGGUGAAGGCGCUGUGAUCAUGUUACAGCAGAUGGUGAGACGGGUGGCCAGACCCCCAGAUUCACAUGAGCACCCCCUGGACACCGCAAGACACCUCUGGGAACAUCCCCAAACCCUUCUGGAUGAGUCUAGGACCACAGAGACCCACAUGAGGACUCCCUGGACCCUACCAGACCCUACUGGGACAUCUCCAGAUCUCCUCAGAACUCCUCAGAGCUCCUGGGCCUACAGUGGGAUCUUCCAGAUCCUUCCAGGGUGCCUUGGGACCAGCCUGGGGACUCCCUUGAACCGGGCUGGGGGUCGCCUUGGCAGCAGGAUGGGCUUCGGUGUGGAAGAAUCUUCCCAGUGCUCACCUCAGAGCUCAGGCUGAAGGCAGCAGUGCGUGGGAAGAAGGGGCCUCUAGCGCAUCCAUGGCACUGGGGAAUCUGGAGGGGAUGGGAAAGCAAACGGAGAAGCAGCAGAUGCUCUGCAGCACGGGAAGGGCUUAAGAGCCCAACUUUGGGCAGUGGUGCUCUGCAAACUGUUGGGAAGCAGCAGGAAAUUCUGCCAGUGGUUCCCUGGGAAGCUCCUUUGGAAGCUCUGGCCAUGUUCCUUGUGCUUCCUCCCAUUGAAUGCCUUUCUCUUCCAGAUGGCGUCAGCAGGACCUGUUGUGCAUGAGCUUCCGUCUCUGGGGAGCUCACCGGUUUGGAUGGAGGGGAGAGGCAGGAGCUGAAUGUGAAAACUACUCAGUUGUCAGCCAGGAAGGACCUCAUUCUUGAAUCAGUGUUUGAUGCCCUCCAAGAGAAUGAGAUCCAUGGAUUGAAGAGAGAGGUAAUGGUACUGCUCCCCUGUUUCCUCUCAGCCCUUUCCAGCUGAGAGGAAAGCUCUGUGCCCCGGCUGCCCACCCCACACCUGGCUUUCAGGCUCAGCCUCUCUUGGAUCUUGGAGCUGCUCUGCUUCCCUCACUGAGAGCUGCUGCUGGUGUUGGCUGCACAGUGCAGCUGGGAUCAGGGUGCUCUGUGCAGCACUGUGAAUUCCCCCUGGGCUGGGCCCAACAGGCACCUGCUGGGCUUGGCUUGGAGGCCGGACAUCGUCCCUUCCAAGACACUUGUGGAUCAGGAUUCUUAGCUGGAAGGGCCGUUCUCCAGGCCAGCUGCAACUGGAGCGCUGCAGGGCCUGGCUGGCUCAGGGCGUGAUCUGACUGCCUGUCCAGGCUGUUCUGGAGAUGGCACGAGGCUGGCAGCAAGAGGGUCAGGCAGAGCCCAAGGUCCAUCUUUGCUGUGUCUCUGGAGUCCUGUGGCUCAUCACGGCACACUUUCCGGAAGAUCUUGGUGGAUUUCUGGAAGGACACGGAGCCCUCCCUUAGCUCUUGGAUAGGACUCCCUCGUCACACUGAUCUCCUCCAGUGUUUGUGCUCACUGCUGUCUCUCCAUUCCCUAUUUGUUGCCAGGAAAUUCUGCAGUUGACACAGCGCACCAUUGAGAAAAUCAUGGAAAACAGUGUCUGGAUGCCUAACUGGGCUCUGGAAACCAUGGAUAUGUAGACAGACAGCUUUACUACACACAGCUUUGCGUCUGGCACUCCCCAUAGCCUGCCAAGAUCUGCUUUCUGUCAAUGUUAUCUCAUAGAGCUUUAGAAUGGCUGAGCUCUGAAGGGACCGUACAGACCAUCCCAGUCCAGCUCCCUGCCGUUAACAGGGCUGCCACCCUUUCCAUCAGGUGCCCAGGGCCCCCUCCAACCAGGUCUCCAGUGCCUCCAGGAAUGGGGCAUCCAUGGCUUCUCUGGGUGGCACAUUGCAGGGCCUCACCGCCUACUGGGGAUCAAGAAUUUCUUCCUGACAUCCCAUCUAAAUCUUCCCUCUCUGAGAAUUUAAAAAGCCUCCGCCUGCCCUCCUAGGGCUGACCAGCUCCUUUCCCCAGGUGUCAGCAGUGAAGUCAGAGUCAGAAGUCAGCAGUGCCUCCAAAGAGUUUGCUGUCUUGGUAAGACUCUGCUGCUGCUUCUGGAGGACCUGAGGAAAAGCUUUGCCAUAGAGCCCUGUAAGACCCCAUAGUGGUGGGAGCUCCUAGAGAGCUGCGGUGGGCUGCUGCAGAGCGCAGCAUCCUGCCCAAGGGCACGGAGACCCUCAGGGUGCUUACACAUCUCCAGAGGCCUCUGCUGCUCUUUGUGGCCAAGCAGCUGGGAGCAAUUGCUCCACGUGCCCUGCCUCAGGUUCACCCUCCUUUGUGCUCCAAUCCUGCCAGAGCCGAGGGAGUGGGCGAAGGGCUCCCAACUUUGGCCUUGGUGUGUUCUUUUUUGCAUGGCCAGCCUAAGUGUGACCGCUGUCAUCUCUGGUCUCUGAGGGAGUGGAUGAGGACGAAGGUGAAAUGAAUAACCAGGGGUUAUUCAUUUAUGACGUGGGGUAUGGCCAGUGCGUGCGGCAGGCUGCCAGAGAGGAAGGCCGGGCUGCCUGCAAGUCCUGGGAGGAAAGAGUUUGCCUGUUCAGCCGGGCCUUCCUCUGCUCUCCAAAGCGGCCGACUCCUGCGGGAAAUACAGACGAGGCGACCGUCCCACCUUUGGAAGAAUUAUUCUUCCUGCUAGAGCAGAGAGCAGUAGCGGGAAGAUGCUGUGGGAGGGAAACCGUCCUCCUGUGGAUGUGGAGGGACGACUGCUGGCGGGAGGGAGUGCAGCUGCCUUCCCCUAUCAGCAGCGCCGUUCUGGCGUCCCACGGCAGCCCAGGGAGCAGAGCAGACAGGAGGAGCCCCGCAAAGCCCUCGGCCGUGUCAGAUUGGAGGUGCGGAGCAACUGAGGAAACGCAGAAUGCACCUGCGUGUGCCGAGUGGAAAUUCACGGCAAUUUGUAAAAGACAGCGGUGAUUUUUAGAAGGGAAUAAUUAAACUAAAAUGCUGAUGACUUUC
This is an RNA transcript of Lagopus muta (rock ptarmigan), 7485 nucleotides long. It is a transcript of the gene named annexin A4-like, with no coding region annotated. NCBI's taxonomy places the organism in Eukaryota, Metazoa, Chordata, Aves, Galliformes, Phasianidae. The transcript is spliced from 4 exons. The record is from RefSeq and is a predicted model, not a curated record.